This 261-nucleotide ribosomal RNA is filed under the name uncultured bacterium. Its description in RNAcentral is "partial small subunit ribosomal RNA". It matches the Rfam family "Bacterial small subunit ribosomal RNA", at positions 26 to 285 of the family's 1533-position model. The record is from RNAcentral.
AGGACGAACGCUGGCGGCGUGCUUAACACAUGCAAGUCGAGCGGAAAGGCCCUUCGGGGUACUCGAGCGGCGAACGGGUGAGUAACACGUGAGCAACCUGCCCUUAGCUCCGGGAGUAGCUCCGGGAAACCGGGAAUUAAAUACCGGAUAUGACCUAGGCCGACAUCGGCUGUGGUGGAAAGUUUUUACGGUCUGGGGAGUGGACGUCGCGGCCUAUCAGCUUGUUGGUGGGGUAAUGGCCUACCAAGGCGACGACGGGUA